This 232-nucleotide ribosomal RNA is filed under the name uncultured bacterium. RNAcentral describes it as "partial 16S ribosomal RNA". It matches the Rfam family "Bacterial small subunit ribosomal RNA", at positions 335 to 584 of the family's 1533-position model. The record is from RNAcentral.
GUACCUACGGGGGGCAGCAGUAGGGAAUAUUGCUCAAUGGGGGAAACCCUGAAGCAGCAACGCCGCGUGGAGGAUGAAGGGUUUCGGAUUGUAAACUCCUUUUGUUAGAGAAGAUAAUGACGGUAUCUAACGAAUAAGCACCGGCUAACUACGUGCAAGCAGCCGCGGUAAUACGGAGGGUGCAAGCGGUACUCGGAAUCACUGGGCGUAAAGAGAGCGUAGGCGGGAUAGC